Homo sapiens (human) is the source of this 1489-nucleotide long non-coding RNA. Ensembl annotates it as tektin 4 pseudogene 2. Its record names the gene TEKT4P2. NCBI's taxonomy places the organism in Eukaryota, Metazoa, Chordata, Mammalia, Primates, Hominidae. The record is from Ensembl.
GGCUUGGUUCUAUGUCCCUGUAGGUAGGUGCGAGGGCGAAGAGGAACCUGUGGGCCUCGGGGGAUCCCGGGGGGCCAGACCAGUGUUCCCCAUUUGUGGGGGCAGACGCGUGGGCGCAUCGCGGGCAGGAGGGGCCUGACGUGCAUUUGCGGGCCGUGGACCCUGGCGGGGGCUGGGAGGACAGACGUGGGGUCCCAGCAGUGAAGCGGGUUCCAGAGGCGCAGGAGUGGGUAGGCGAGGCUGGUGGCCCUGGGCCCGGAGUCUGCAGGCCGCGCUCCUGUCCUGCCACUGAGGGACCCGGUUACCAACCCUCAUGUAGCUCAGUUUGCCCAUCUGUCCCCGUGCUAACACACAGUUCUCGGGAGACGUUCCCCAUUCCCAGAGUAGUAGUGCGAAAUGCGUGUGCCUCUAGUCUCAAGCUGGGCGUUUGUAUUAGUUGGGUUUCCUGGUGUCUAUUUAACAAGUGAAGUUUCUGGUUCCCUCCUUCACUGUGUGACCUGCCUAGUCCUCCUGGAUUGCAUUUAUGGAAGUUUAUACGAGACCUAGUUUCCAUGGAGGAACUCACUGAUUCCGCGAGGGAGAUGGGGUACUGGAUGAUGGUCUUCAGCCUUAAGGGUACUUCAGUCUUCACUGUGUGUUAUAAAGUUUGAAAGGGAGGGUUCCCUAUGAAUAAGAAGCGCACUUGAAAGAACAGCCCUCUGGUCUAACUUCUCACUGGUGCUUCAGAGGAGGAUAAAAGGUCGCAGCUAUGUUUCCAGUGUCCUCUGGGUGUUUCCAAGAGCAACAAGAAACGAAUAAAUCUCUGCCCCGCAGCGCCUCCACCCCAGAGACCCGGACCAAGUUCACACAGGACAAUCUGUGCCACGCCCAGCGCGAGCGCCUGGACUCGGCCAACCUGUGGGUGCUGGUGGACUGCAUCCUUCGCGACACCUCCGAGGACCUGGGACUCCAGUGUGACGCCGUGAACCUGGCCUUCGGGCGCCGCUGUGAGGAACUGGAGGACGCGCGGCACAAGCUGCAGCACCACCUGCACAAGAUGCUGCGGGAAAUCACAGAUCAGGAACACAACGUGGUGGCACUGAAGGAGGCCAUCAAGGACAAGGAGGAACCUCUGCACAUAGCCCAGACCCGGCUGUAGUUGCUCUCACACCGGCCCAACAUGCAGCUGUGCCGCGAUGCAGCCCAGUUCAGCCCCAGCUCACACCCCCCAACACCCCCAAGCUGGUGAGUGAGGUGGAGGAGCUGUACAAGUCCAUCACAGCGCUGCGGGAGAAGCUUCUACAAGCGGAGCAGUCCCUGCGCAACCUCAAGGACAUCCACAUGAGCCUGGAGAAGGACGUCACUGCCAUGACCAACAGUCUCUUCAUCGACCGCCAGAAGUGCAUGGCCCAUCGUACUUGCUACCCCACCAUUCUGCAGCUGGCUGGCUACCAGUGAGCAGCGGCACGGUGCUUCCCCCCAAUCCCCCAAAUAAACAGUGCGUUAGCUU